UUCCUCUUCUCAUGGACGCGUCGACGGGACUGCCUCUCAGGCUCUCAGCCCUCCAGGUCGUAGACACAACCCCACCCACGGCUCCGCGCUGGUGGGAAGAAAGCGCAUGAUGUAGGUAUAGGGCGCUCGGCGGCCCGGGAAAGGCAACCUCGUCUUCUGCUGUUCUGCAUCUUCUAUACUACUGAUAAAUGGUCACUUGGGCUCAGUGGUCACAUGGGCUCAGAGCAAGUCCACAAUAAGAUUCUUUCUAUGGAACUCUGUAUCACUGGUUACAAUUGACAUGAGCAAAAGGAAAGUGCUGUCACUGGUUCCGUAUAUUGAAGAUAGUGACCUCAGGGGCAAAGACACUCUACCGGUCGUUCAAAGGCACAAUUAUAUGCAGUCAUUCCUUCUGUCUGAACUUCCAAAGUUCAUCGAUCCUGCCUGGUACGUGCAUCUCACAUAUUUUACCUGUGGGCACUUUUCAUUUCUGCACUCAAUUUGUUGCCUUCUUAAUAUGACCCGCUCUUGUCAACAUGGUUUAAUCUUACCUAGAACUGAAGUGAAUUGAAAUCCAGUAGUGCAUGUAUGUAAUUCUAACAUAAUGCAGCAUACGGAUGCUUUGAGAAAAUGAAAGCAUGGGCGGUAACCUUUUCAAUCCUACGCGACACGACUGAUCACAUCCCUUGACAGUGCAAGCCUAUCGAGAAUGUUUGGAUCUACCGAGGUUUCUUUGAGUCGUUCUUUGAAACUUCCCAGCAGAACAACCUCUGGAAAGCGCAAGCUUAAGCAUGUUCAGCAAAGAGAUUGCACCAUACACGUGAAGUAAGACAUUGAGCAAAAGGGUGGCCUUUGGAAAGGAUAAAUGCUAUUCCCUCCCCUCCGUUCCAUAAAAAUUGGCGCGGUUUUGAACUAGAAGCCGUGCCAAUCUUCGUGGAACGGAGGGAGUACAUUUUGCUAGAUGGAUUGUGACCUACAAUAGCUUUGUACAAAGUCAGCAGGAAAAUGGUUGCAAGUACUACUUCUAUUUGCGUGGGAUCUGCUGUAUGUUGCAACACUGAAA
This is a long non-coding RNA of Brachypodium distachyon (stiff brome), 1042 nucleotides long. RefSeq lists it as uncharacterized. Lineage: Eukaryota; Viridiplantae; Streptophyta; Magnoliopsida; Poales; Poaceae. The transcript has 3 exons. The record is from RefSeq and is a predicted model, not a curated record.